ACUCCUACGGGAGGCAGCAGUGGGGAAUCUUGGACAAUGGGGGCAACCCUGAUCCAGCCAUGCCGCGUGAGUGAUGAAGGCCCUAGGGUCGUAAAGCUCUUUCGCCUGUGAUGAUAAUGACAGUAGCAGGUAAAGAAACCCCGGCUAACUCCGUGCCAGCAGCCGCGGUAAUACGGAGGGGUUAGCGUUGUUCGGAAUUACUGGGGCGUAAAGCGCGCGUAGGCGGACUAUUAAGUCAGGGGUGAAAUCCCGGGGCUCAACCCCGGAACUGCCCUUGAUACUGGUAGUCUUGAGUUCGAGAGAGGUGAGUGGAAUUCCGAGUGUAGAGGUGAAAUUCGUAGAUAUUCGGAGGAACACCAGUGGCGAAGGCGGCUCACUGGCUCGAUACUGACGCUGAGGUGCGAAAGUGUGGGGAGCAAACAGGAUUAGAUACCCUGGUAGCGACUGA
This 448-nucleotide ribosomal RNA is filed under the name uncultured bacterium. RNAcentral's name for it is "bacterial SSU rRNA". It matches the Rfam family "Bacterial small subunit ribosomal RNA", at positions 335 to 799 of the family's 1533-position model. The record is from RNAcentral.